CAGCCGCCACGGUAAUACGAGGGGGGCAAGCGUUGUUCGGAAUUAUUGGGCGUAAAGGGUGCGUAGGCGGUUUGGCAAGUUUGGUGUGAAAUCUUCGGGCUCAACUCGAAGUCUGCAUCGAAAACUGCCGGGCUUGAGUAUGGGAGAGGUGAGUGGAAUUUCCGGUGUAGCGGUGAAAUGCGUAGAUAUCGGAAGGAACACCUGUGGCGAAAGCGGCUCACUGGACCAUAACUGACGCUGAUGCACGAAAGCUAGGGGAGCAAACAGGAUUAGAUACCCCGGUAGUCCCUGUCUCUUAUAC
This 301-nucleotide ribosomal RNA is filed under the name uncultured bacterium. RNAcentral's name for it is "partial 16S ribosomal RNA". It matches the Rfam family "Bacterial small subunit ribosomal RNA", at positions 509 to 807 of the family's 1533-position model. The record is from RNAcentral.